AGAUGAAGAACGCAGUGAAAUGCGAUAAGUAGUGUGAAUUGCAGAAUUCAGUGAAUCAUCGAAUCUUUGAACGCACAUUGCGCCCCUUGGUAUUCCAUGGGGCAUGCCUGUUCGAGCGUCAUUGACACCCUCAAGCUCUGCUUGGUGUUGGGGCCGUUGUCGUUUCCCCGCCCCUCCCGGCGACACAGCGACACCCCUCAAAGUCAUUGGCGGCCUUUCUGCCCGGCUCCCCGCGCAGCAGUUAGCGCUUCGGAGACCCCUGGGCAGGCUGGCAUCCAUCAAGCUGACCCCUUUUACGCUUGACCUCGGAUCAGGUAGGGACACCCGCUGAACUUAAGCAUAUCAAUAAGCGGAGGA
This 357-nucleotide unclassified non-coding RNA is filed under the name soil metagenome. RNAcentral's name for it is "partial contains 5.8S ribosomal RNA, internal transcribed spacer 2, and large subunit ribosomal RNA". The stretch from base 2 to 121 matches the Rfam family "5.8S ribosomal RNA", at positions 35 to 154 of the family's 154-position model. The record is from RNAcentral.